CCUACGGGUGGCAGCAGUGAGGAAUAUUGGUCAAUGGACGAGAGUCUGAACCAGCCAAGUAGCGUGAAGGAUGACUGCCCUAUGGGUUGUAAACUUCUUUUAUAUGGGAAUAAAACGUUCCACGUGUGGGAUUUUGUAUAUACCAUAUGAAUAAGGAUCGGCUAACUCCGUGCCAGCAGCCGCGGUAAUACGGAGGAUCCGAGCGUUAUCCGGAUUUAUUGGGUUUAAAGGGAGCGUAGGUGGAUUGUUAAGUCAGUUGUGAAAGUUUGCGGCUCAACCGUAAAAUUGCAGUUGAAACUGGCAGUCUUGAGUACAGUAGAGGUGGGCGGAAUUCGUGGUGUAGCGGUGAAAUGCUUAGAUAUCACGAAGAACUCCGAUUGCGAAGGCAGUUCACUGGACUGCAACUGACACUGAGGCUCGAAAGUGUGGGUAUCAAACAGGAUUAGAUACCCUAGUAGUC
This 460-nucleotide ribosomal RNA is filed under the name uncultured bacterium. RNAcentral describes it as "partial 16S ribosomal RNA". It matches the Rfam family "Bacterial small subunit ribosomal RNA", at positions 338 to 795 of the family's 1533-position model. The record is from RNAcentral.